ACUCCUACGGGAGGCAGCAGUAGGGAAUCUUCCGCAAUGGACGCAAGUCUGACGGAGCAACGCCGCGUGAGUGACGAAGGUUUUCGGAUCGUAAAACUCUGUUGUGAGGGAAGAACAAGUACCAAGUAACUACUGGUACCUUGACGGUACCUCACCAGA
Molecule: ribosomal RNA, 159 nt
Filed under: uncultured Bacillota bacterium
Lineage: Bacteria; Bacillati; Bacillota
Description: uncultured Firmicutes bacterium partial 16S ribosomal RNA
Rfam family: Bacterial small subunit ribosomal RNA
Source: RNAcentral